AUAAUGAGUUCACUUAACUAAUUUUUUUAUUUUUAUUUCUACCUAGUUUUCUGCAUGAAGUCAUUGGCAUAAGCAUCAACUUGUCACUUGUGCCAAUAUAGCUGUCUGUCAAAUGGAAUUAAAGUGCACACCCUUUUUGAAUUAGUAUAUUUGUGAUAUGUGUAGCUUAUUUAGUGUUCUUCUCCCUUAAAUUUUUUGAAGCCCUUGUUGUUUGCAGGAUGAGUUUUGAGAGUUCCCCAGAUGUUAUGAAAGAAAUAAACAUGCAGCAUGAGCGACAUUGCUGCUUAGUCAACUUUGGAUGUAAAAAGAAAGCUUGAUGGGUGUGAAGAGGGUAUAUUGGUAUAUGUGUCGGGCCUGAUAUGCUUUGUUGGAAAUGUGAUUAUAUGAUGUUUUUUAUCUUCUUAAUUCACCGUGAUAUUCAUUGGACAACGUGUUCUUUGGCAGCCCAGCUUUUGGUUAAUUCUUUCAGAAAUUAUUUUUAAAAGAAAAACAUACUCUCAUGAAGCAACCAGUACUUGCAAUAAAUUUUGGCAUCUAUAGAGAGUUAUAUAAUCAAUAGUGGCAUUCAUCCUGUUAGUUGAAGCCAUAUGUGGUUAGAUAGAUAUGUUACAUAAUUUCCCUUGCAUUUAGAACCAUCUUUUGGCUUAAAUUUAAGUAUCUUUCCAAUAGAUUCUGUUGCAAAAGUAAUCAUUAUGUCUUCUUGCUUGUCUUUGUGCUAAUGCUCUAUGAUAUAUCGAAGAAUGAAAAGAUUGGGAAUUUGGGCAGCAACGAGGUCUAAUUGUGCUUGAAACUAAACAUUUUAUUUGGCCUUGUUUCAAAUACUUGUUAUGCUUGUCCUUUGAAUUCUCCAUUUUAUGGUUCUCACGAGGUUGUUGUUGGAUAAAAUUUAUUUUCGUUCAGGCUUGCAGGGUUUUCACUUGGGGUUCUUACUAAAGGAAGCGAUUUGAAGAUUAAGGUGGGACUCGUGUAAAAGGAUAGGCUCAUAAAAGGUUCAUUUUAUUGGUGGAUUUCAAGGAAAAUGUUAUUGCUGGAGGAAUUUGUGCUUCGCUUUUAGUCCUUUUCGUUGAAACAUUCUGCAAUGCCUUUAUACUUUGAGUUAGCUCCCACAUGACUUGCUUGGAAAUUAGUAUGCGUCUCUUGGGAAGGUCAACUUUCAACCAAAAAUUGUUAUAAAAUGUGAAUAUAGUGUCUAAUAUGAAAUACUGCAUGUUGAAAUGCUUGUACCGCCUUUGCAACUUAUACAUCCUUUUCUUUUAAUUUGAUGCAUUUCCGGGUUUUUGUGAUUGAAUUAAUGCAUUUAGCCAAACUCCUGAAUAUCAUAACAAAUUUAUCCGCUCAUUAAUGGAGAUUAAAUUUUCCUUUGGUUUGGCAAAUAUAUAGAAUAGUACGGCCUAAACUAUUUAUGUUUGAGAUAUAUUAUGUGUCCUAUGUGGUUGUUAGUGCAUAUAUUUGUUUUUAUCCCCGUGCUAGAGGAAUGCUGCAUUUUGCCUUCUUAUCCGAAGUUAUGGCUUAUGCCUGGAGAAAUGUUUGCUAAUCCAUUGGUUUCGAGGUCCAUGUGAAGUUCUCCAAAUGUAGUUUUUGCUAGAUAACCAGGUUUUAGUUGUCCUUAAAUUUUGAUCCUUAUGCCUAUAGAUUUCCUAAUCAUGGACAUGUUCUUUUUCUUAAUGAUACUUACAGCUAAUCUUUUUUUUUUUGGUUUGUGAAUUGAUCUGCUUAGCUUGCUUGAUAUGCUUGAAAUGCUUGAAUUAAAUUUCUGGUGAACUUUCUUAUAGCAAAUGGAAACACAGUUGAUCUUAUUUGAUUGUUCAAGAGUUGACUUUCUGUCACAAGAUGAAAGGCUUGGUACGAUUUUGCUUCUUAAAGAUGAUAGCCGAUCUUUAGUGGUUUAUUCAUAGUUAUGUUGAGAUCCUUUCAACCAGCCUUCUAUCUUGCAAAUACUUUGUGUUCAUUGGCCUAAUAGAUGUUGUGACUUCAACCACUUCGUAGUUGCACGCAUUUUGUAUGUUGGUAUGCUCAUGGCAUGUUAUUGUUAUAUUUUAUAUUAUAUUUCUGCCUUACGUGAGCUACUCAUGGGUUUUCUACGUCGAUACUUGUGAUUGUCAAAUUCCUAAAAAUUGUUUAAUUUUCCUGAUUUUAAUUUGGAGCGUGUGUGUCUGUCUACGGGAUUUUGAAUGAUUCAAAGACCAUGCAUUCUCAUGAUAGUCUUUUAUGGCCCUUGUGGUAUUUAGUGACAAGAUGUUACUCAUUGGUGCAUUUAUCCAUGAUGUUAUGAUCUAUUCUUUUCCAAUAUAUGAAUUAUGUAUCUGUAGUUUUUUAUGGUGCUUAUUUGAUUUGCUAGAAAAUGAUCAUGUUGCAAGCCUGCUGUGCAAAUGUAAAAGGGAGGCUUAAUUCUUGAGUUUGUCCUGUAUCACACUUCAAUUCUAUGUCUGCUGAGUUAUGUGUUUGUAUUUUAUGUUUGAUCCUAAACAAGUCAUUGCGAUUCUAAUGACAAUUUGGUAAGCCUAUUUACUGGCUCAUGUGGUUUGCUAUCUUCAAGGGUGCAACAUGUGGUAACUGCAUUUUUUCUUUUCUGUCACCUGGUUUUCAAUCAAAUGGCUGCCCCUAUUUUUGUUGAUAAGUGGAUCAUUGAUGAGGAGUGUUUUUUAUUUUGUUAUAUGUGUAUAUGUGUUAUGGUUAUCCUUUUCUGACAUGCUGCUCU
Molecule: long non-coding RNA, 2698 nt
Organism: Dioscorea cayenensis subsp. rotundata (Guinea yam)
Lineage: Eukaryota; Viridiplantae; Streptophyta; Magnoliopsida; Dioscoreales; Dioscoreaceae
Exons: 3
Source: RefSeq, a predicted model, not a curated record